Molecule: ribosomal RNA, 433 nt
Filed under: uncultured bacterium
Lineage: Bacteria
Description: partial 16S ribosomal RNA
Rfam family: Bacterial small subunit ribosomal RNA
Source: RNAcentral
AGCGAACGCUGGCGGCAGGCCUAACACAUGCAAGUCGAACGAACUCUUCGGAGUUAGUGGCGGACGGGUGAGUAACACGUGGGAACGUGCCUUUUGGUUCGGAAUAACUCAGGGAAACUUGUGCUAAUACCGAAUGUGCCCUUCGGGGGAAAGAUUUAUCGCCAUUAGGGCGGCCCGCGUCUGAUUAGCUAGUUGGUGAGGUAACGGCUCACCACGGCGACGAUCAGUAGCUGGUCUGAGAGGAUGACCAGCCACACUGGGACUGAGACACGGCCCAGACUCCUACGGGAGGCAGCAGUGGGGAAUCUUGCGAAAUGGGCGAAAGGCUGACGCAGCCAUGCCGCGUGAAUGAUGAAGGUCUUAGGAUUGUAAAAUUCUUUCACCGGGGACGAUAAUGACGGUACCCGGAGAAGAAGCCCCGGCUAACUUCGUG